Molecule: ribosomal RNA, 441 nt
Filed under: uncultured bacterium
Lineage: Bacteria
Description: partial 16S ribosomal RNA
Rfam family: Bacterial small subunit ribosomal RNA
Source: RNAcentral
CCUACGGGAGUCAGCAGUGGGGGAUAUUGCACAAUGGGGGCAACCCUGAUGCAGCGACGCCGCGUGAGCGAUGGAGUACUUCGGUAUGUAAAGCUCUGUCAGCAGGGCAGAGAAUGACGGUACCUGACCAAGAAGCCCCGGCUAAAUACGUGCCAGCAGCCGCGGUAAUACGUAUGGGGCAAGCGUUAUCCGGAAUUACUGCGGGUAAAGGGAGCGUAGGCGGCAGGGCAAGCCGGAUGGGAAAGCCCGGGGCUAAACCCCGGGACUGCAUUGGGAACUGCCCCGCUCGAGUGCCGGAGGGGCAGGCGGAAUUCCUAGUGGAGCGGUGAAAUGCGUAGAUAUUAGGAGGAACACCAGUGGCGAAGGCGGCCUGCUGGACGGUGUACUGACGCUGAGGCUCGAAAGCGUGGGGAGCAAACAGGAUUAGAUACCCGGGUAGUC